Molecule: ribosomal RNA, 492 nt
Filed under: uncultured bacterium
Lineage: Bacteria
Description: partial 16S ribosomal RNA
Rfam family: Bacterial small subunit ribosomal RNA
Source: RNAcentral
AGUGAACGCUGGCGGUAGGCCUAACACAUGCAAGUCGAACGGCAGCACAGUAAGAGCUUGCUCUUACGGGUGGCGAGUGGCGGACGGGUGAGGAAUACAUCGGAAUCUACUUUUUCGUGGGGGAUAACGUAGGGAAACUUACGCUAAUACCGCAUACGACCUACGGGUGAAAGCAGGGGAUCUUCGGACCUUGCGCGAUUGAAUGAGCCGAUGUCGGAUUAGCUAGUUGGCGGGGUAAAGGCCCACCAAGGCGACGAUCCGUAGCUGGUCCGAGAGGAUGAUCAGCCACACUGGAACUGAGACGCGGUCCAGACUCCUACGGGAGGCAGCAGUGGGGAAUAUUGGACAAUGGGCGCAAGCCUGAUCCAGCCAUACCGCGUGGGUGAAGAAGGCCUUCGGGUUGUAAAGCCCUUUUGUUGGGAAAGAAAAGCAGCAGGUUAAUACCCCGCUGUUCUGACGGUACCCAAAGAAUAAGCACCGGCUAACUUCGUG